This is a long non-coding RNA of Solea solea (common sole), 446 nucleotides long. RefSeq lists it as uncharacterized. The transcript has 3 exons. Lineage: Eukaryota; Metazoa; Chordata; Actinopteri; Pleuronectiformes; Soleidae. The record is from RefSeq and is a predicted model, not a curated record.
GCCUUAAAAUUAACGAUCUUUGUUACCGCGUCAUUUUGUCAUGACUUCCUGUGCGCAGCUACUUUCAAAAUGGCCGCCAUGGCUAAGCGUGGAGGUGAAAGUAGAAAGACUUCAUCCUGCUGUGACUACUGCGACUUACUGCUAGCUUGCUAAUGCUACUGAUGCUACGUCUAGCCUGCUAAUGCUACUGAUGCUACGUCUAGCCUGCUACUUCUAGCACAGCUGCGUCUAUACGUACCAUCCUUUAAAACACACAUUGUGGCUGCGCGGCUCCAGCUGAGAGGCUUUGUGAUGCACUGUCAGAACCCAUUUACCUCCUUCAUCUCCAUCUCCAUGAGAACAUGGUGGGGGGGGGGGGGGGCGGAGCCUCUGGUUCUAUCUGACAGCACCUCUUACUGUGUGUUUUUACCCCAUUUUUCUCUCCAUUAUUCCUCAUCAAACCCAUA